Molecule: RNA transcript, 1515 nt
Organism: Formica exsecta
Lineage: Eukaryota; Metazoa; Arthropoda; Insecta; Hymenoptera; Formicidae
Exons: 4
Source: RefSeq, a predicted model, not a curated record
CGGCUAUCUUGUCAACCACCAAUGGUAGAUAAUACUCUAUACAGGCGGCCCAAUGCACGCCCACGACGAUGAUGAUGCCUAUCUUCGCUAUUUUGUACAGGUGAAAAUUAAUUCGGUAUACCUGGAAUUUUAAUUAUCUGUCAAAUUCAACGAGGUCAGGUACCACAUCGAGUCGGUAAGCACGACGAUAAAUUCCAACGGUAGUACGGAUAACGCGUCCACGAUGAAGAAACCUCGUAGAUACUUGCUACGAUGAUAGCGUCACGUAAUGUUGAAAAAAAAAAUAGAAAAUCCCUCAUUUUUCCAAAUAUUUAAAUUCAUAUUUUUUUCAAAGUGUCUACUCAGUAUAACAUUCCUGGAGAAUUCUCUAAUAUUCCAGAUAUUUUUGUUCAAAGGUUCCAGGUUCAAGACUAGUACGCCAUUUUCGUGUACCUCGCUACAACCCUCGGAUCCAGAAUCACCAGUUGCGUACGAGAAUCGUAGUGACCGGUGAAAAACCUGAUUAUUAUGUCGCACAUGAGCAUGGCGUCGAUCGCGUGAUUGUACAUAUACCAUUUCGCGCAUUCGUCAAAAUAAAAUGUGAGGAAAACCGGUGUGAUGAGCAGAACAACUAUGAUGAACAGCGUCAUGAUAGACUCCCAAAAUAUUCUACAAACGAGUUUGUGACUGACCUGAAGGAACUGAAGGGAUGGAUCAUGUAAGGAUGGGACUUGAGAUGAUGACUGAUCUCGUAAUCAAUCGCCCGAGUACUCUUCAGGCACCAUCGCGUGAACGGGUGCAGUGGCGACGUUAUCCGUGUUCCGAGAAACCAACGACGUAUCCUGGACCAAGCGGAGCUCCCGGAUAUCGUUCUCGUCAAUGGAUCUUCCUUCGGGGAUAUCUCGCAAACAUGUUCCACGCGGGGCUCAUGCUGUAGAUAUUAUCGCUCGCUUUGUUAUUAUCUUUAUUCUAAACAGUCUACAUAUUAUUAUAAAAAUAAUAAUAUGUGUGUAUUCCAAUUUAGAACGCUUUAAAGCUUACUGAGAGAUAUUACUGCCUUUGUUUAAAUUCGUCGUUUCAUACAGUUGCAAACUAUUGCAAUAUUGGGAGGAAUUAUUUUGUACUAUAUUAAAUUAUUCACCCCAAUUCAUACAAAAAUAUAAACAAUUUUAUUGUAAUUAUUAUAAUUUUAUUAUUAUAUAAUGGAUUUUUAAAUAACACAAUGUCUAACAUGUUCUAAAAAUAUAUUUUAAAAAUUUACACGCUUUUUCAAAUAUUUUAUAUGUAUCGUAAAAUAAAAAUACACAUACACACUUUUCUAUAUUUAAUGAACUUUCUACCAAAUUAUGUGCCCAUACAAUUAAAUAUUAUUAAAUAAGUAUAAAAACAGGAAGUAAUUUUGUCUUCUUGAUAUAUCCUAAGUGAUGGUUACAUACCUGGACAGUUGGUGCUGUCAUAGAAUAGGGCACAAAAGCCAUUAAAUCCAUUAUUUGUUUGAGAAUGUAAUCUUGAAAAUAAAUCUUCUAGUCUUCUCCC